CGGGUAGCCGGCCUGAGAGGGCGACCGGCCACACUGGGACUGAGACACGGCCCAGACUCCUACGGGAGGCAGCAGUGGGGAAUAUUGCACAAUGGGCGAAAGCCUGAUGCAGCGACGCCGCGUGAGGGAUGACGGCCUUCGGGUUGUAAACCUCUUUCAGCAGGGAAGAAGCGAAAGUGACGGUACCUGCAGAAGAAGCGCCGGCUAACUACGUGCCAGCAGCCGCGGUAAUACGUAGGGCGCGAGCGUUGUCCGGAAUUAUUGGGCGUAAAGAGCUCGUAGGCGGCUUGUCACGUCGGUUGUGAAAGCCCGGGGCUUAACCCCGGGUCUGCAGUCGAUACGGGCAGGCUAGAGUUCGGUAGGGGAGAUCGGAAUUCCUGGUGUAGCGGUGAAAUGCGCAGAUAUCAGGAGGAACACCGGUGGCGAAGGCGGAUCUCUGGGCCGAUACUGACGCUGAGGAGCGAAAGCGUGGGGAGCGAACAGGAUUAGAUACCCUGGUAGUCCACGCCGUAAACGGUGGGCACUAGGUGUGGGCGACAUUCCACGUCGUCCGUGCCGCAGCUAACGCAUUAAGUGCCCCGCCUGGGGAGUACGG
RNAcentral lists this ribosomal RNA (595 nucleotides) under Streptomyces sp. RNAcentral describes it as "bacterial SSU rRNA". It matches the Rfam family "Bacterial small subunit ribosomal RNA", at positions 280 to 885 of the family's 1533-position model. Lineage: Bacteria; Bacillati; Actinomycetota; Actinomycetes; Kitasatosporales; Streptomycetaceae. The record is from RNAcentral.